This 391-nucleotide ribosomal RNA is filed under the name uncultured prokaryote. RNAcentral's name for it is "partial 16S ribosomal RNA". The record is from RNAcentral.
CCCAUGGGGUGCCCAGAACUGCGAUCAGGAGCCUGAAGCGAAACAAGGGCCUACACUUUGUGGAUGACGUAGGUUACCACUCCCCAGAUGGUAAAAUCUAUGCCCUCAUGGAUGCGUAGGGGCGGAUAAUCAUUGUUUUCCGGCACCAGCCAGUACUCAUCGGCCUCGAUCUUUAGCCGUUUCACCGUUAAUUCCCCAUCCACAAUGGCAAUGAUAAUACGGUUGUGGGUAGCUUCCAGAGCUCUGUCCACGAUGAGGAUAUCAUCCGAGUGAAUACCUGCGCCGAUCAUGGAAUAGCCAUCUGCCCGUACAAAGAAGGUGGAAGCCUCGUGCAUGAUGAGAUGCUCAUUCAGGUCCAGCCUGCCUUCCACAUAGUCUUGGGCGGGAGGGC